UGAGCAAUCUGCCCUUCUCAUCGGAAUAAGCGUUGGAAACGACGUCUAAUGCCGAAUACGACCUCCUUUCGCAUGAUCGGAGGUGGAAAGCUCCGGCGGAGAAGGAUGAGCUCGCGGCCUAUCAGCUAGUUGGUGUGGGUAAUGGCCCACCAAGGCGACGACGAGUAGCCGGCCUGAGGAGGGUGACCCGGCCACACGUGGGACUGAGACACGGCCCAGACUCCGUAGGGACG
RNAcentral lists this ribosomal RNA (233 nucleotides) under uncultured bacterium. RNAcentral describes it as "partial 16S ribosomal RNA". It matches the Rfam family "Bacterial small subunit ribosomal RNA", at positions 118 to 348 of the family's 1533-position model. The record is from RNAcentral.